GCUGUUUGGGGCAGCAAAAAAGUUAGAGCCAGCCCUGCUUCUAUAGACCCUAAUCCCCCUCAAAUUCCUCACAUCUCCAAUCCUCAAUCUCAAAUGCCACCCUCCAGUCUCCCUCCCCAGACCCUAUUCCCACCCCACUGUCUCACAUCCCCUUCCUGAGCCCCUAAAUCGUCCCCUCCAUCCCCCUGCUCUAAUCCCCUUCCCAAAACUCUCAUCCCACCUUCCGACUGCCCAAUGCCCACAGUCCCCAUUCCCAACCCUAACCCCACCCUCCUUUACCGCAUCCCUAAUCCAAAUUUCCAACCCGCCCACCCCAGUUCACCUCCCUGGACCGUAAACACUCUCUCCAGCACCCUCAUCACCCUCCCCAUCCCCUAAUCCCACCAUUUAUCUUCUCCACCCCAAACCCUACUAUUACUUCCAACUUCCAACCCCCACUGCCCCAGUCCUUUCCCCCAGCCUCCAUUCCCACCCUCCACUGCCACCAUCCCUAAUCCCACACUCCAAUCCCCCACUUCUCAAACCCAAUCCUACCUGCCCACCCCUCCAAUGCCCAACUACAGCCCCCCACUCCAACCCCUUCCCCACAUUGUUACCCAUCCCAUCCCCCCGCAGCACUCCUGACUUGCAGCGUUGCAGGUGUGACUAUGUAAAUGGAAUUUGUGGCUUGCUGCCUGUGGUGCUCCAGGAAAAAGCAAACUGCUGGUCUUGCUAACGAGCCAGCUGUGCCCUGCCCAUCGGAGCACUCUGGGCCUGGAGGCUUUGCACGGCCUAGAGAUAGGAAACAAUCGACUGUAAGCCGCGUGGAUCGGAGAGUUUCGUCGAACGUUGAGGCUUUGAGGAGGUAAUCGUCGAGGUGUCUGGAGACCUAAGGACUGGAGGGUUGCCCUUGAGUCCUUCAUUGAGUGAAGCACGUCGUUCAUGGCAGAAGCAAAAAGUUUUUCACCAUCAAAGGGAAGAUCUUCAAUGGUGCUCUGAACCUCUCGAGGAAAGAAAGAGGAGGAGAGCCAUGAACCUCGGCGUAUGACCACUGCUGUGGCGGUCGAUCUUGCUGCAGUGUUGGCUACAUCAAGGGCCGCUUGAAGAGCGGUAUGUGAUAUGAUUUGUCCCUUGGAAACCAGAGCUGUGAAUUGUUGUUUUUUCUGUUCUGGGAUGUCGUCAAUAAAGUCCAUGAACUUA
Molecule: long non-coding RNA, 1179 nt
Organism: Malaclemys terrapin pileata
Lineage: Eukaryota; Metazoa; Chordata; Testudines; Emydidae
Exons: 3
Source: RefSeq, a predicted model, not a curated record